Molecule: long non-coding RNA, 485 nt
Filed under: Olea europaea (common olive)
Lineage: Eukaryota; Viridiplantae; Streptophyta; Magnoliopsida; Lamiales; Oleaceae
Description: long non-coding RNA (OEUR_LNC013091)
Source: RNAcentral
UCGAUUUACUCAAAAUAGCCAAUCAAAGGCUCUGAUACCAUUGUUAUGUCAAGUUUCAAACCAAAUAUACAACAAUACUCAAGAAUACUUUGCAAAAUCAAGUUUAGUUAACCCUUUCAAGAAAACUCAUAUCGAGGCAUCUAAGUGAAGUUUAUUACAUUUGGGGUUCAGACUCGGUAAAAAUAUGAUUGUGCCCGUCUGUGUGACCGCAAGAUCCACCCAGAAAAUCCUAAAGCAUUCCUCUAUCUAUUAAAGGAAGCCACAAGGGCAAUAUACUCAAACCAACCCUUUCAAUACACUAAGCAUAUGUUUUCACUAAGAAACAAUCACACUGAGAACAUUUCCAAUCAGAGAUUGGAAGAACACACAAAAGUGGGAAGUAGAAGAUUCUCGAAGAACCACACACCAACAACCAAGAAAUGGCCGUAUGACUCAAUAGGGCAACCAAGGGAUGAUAUUUAUACUCCCACAAUCAACCGUUGAUC